GGCAGACGGGUGCGUAACACGUAGGUGACCUGCCCUAAAGUGGGGAAUAACUAUCCUAACGGAUAGCUAAUACCGCAUAUGCUCGGUGGUUCGUUCUGCCGAGUAAAGCUCGUAAGGGCGCUUUAGGAUGGGCCUGCGGCGGAUUAGCUAGUUGGUGGGGUAAUGGCCUACCAAGGCGAUGAUCCGUAGGGGGCGUGAGAGCGUGGCCCCCCACACUGGCACUGAGAUACGGGCCAGACUCCUACGGGAGGCAGCAGUGAGGAAUAUUGCACAAUGGGCGAAAGCCUGAUGCAGCAACGCCGCGUGAGGGACGAAGGCCUUCGGGUUGUAAACCUCUUUUCUGAGAGACGAGACAAGGACGGUACCUCAGGAAUAAGUCUCGGCUAACUACGUGCCAGCAGCCGCGGUAAGACGUAGGAGGCGAGCGUUAUCCGGAUUUACUGGGCGUAAAGCGCACGCAGGCGGCUUCGUUAGUCGGAUGUGAAAGCUCCUGGCUUAACCGGGAGAGGCCAUUCGAUACUGCGAGGCUUGAGGUUGGGAGAGGGGUGUGGAAUUCC
RNAcentral lists this ribosomal RNA (557 nucleotides) under uncultured Actinomycetes bacterium. Its description in RNAcentral is "bacterial SSU rRNA". It matches the Rfam family "Bacterial small subunit ribosomal RNA", at positions 97 to 670 of the family's 1533-position model. Lineage: Bacteria; Bacillati; Actinomycetota; Actinomycetes. The record is from RNAcentral.